RNAcentral lists this ribosomal RNA (972 nucleotides) under uncultured archaeon. Its description in RNAcentral is "bacterial SSU rRNA". It matches the Rfam family "Archaeal small subunit ribosomal RNA", at positions 85 to 1058 of the family's 1478-position model. The record is from RNAcentral.
ACUGCUCAGUAACACGUGGACAACCUGCCCUUAGGUUGGGUAUAAACCCGGGAAACUGGGUAUAAUACCCGAUAGGUCUCGAUUGCUGGAAUGCAUCGAGAUUUAAAGCUCCGGCGCCUAAGGAUGGGUCUGCGGCCUAUCAGGUAGUAGUGGGUGUAGCGUACCUACUAGCCUACGACGGGUACGGGUUGUGAGAGCAAGAGCCCGGAGAUGGAUUCUGAGACACGAAUCCAGGCCCUACGGGGUGCAGCAGGCGCGAAAACUUUACAAUGCUGGCAACAGCGAUAAGGGAACCUCGAGUGCCAGGUUACAAAUCUGGCUGUCGAGAUGCCUAAAAAGCAUUUCAUAGCAAGGGCCGGGCAAGACCGGUGCCAGCCGCCGCGGUAACACCGGCGGCUCGAGUGGUAACCGUUAUUAUUGGGUCUAAAGGGUCUGUAGCCGGCCGGAUAAGUCUCUUGAGAAAUCUGGCAGCUUAACUGUCAGGCUUUCAGGAGAUACUGUCUGGCUCGAGGCCGGGAGAGGUGAGAGGUACUUCAGGGGUAGGGGUGAAAUCUUGUAAUCCUUGAAGGACCACCAGUGGCGAAGGCGUCUCACCAGAACGGACCUGACGGCAAGGGACGAAAGCUAGGGGCACGAACCGGAUUAGAUACCCGGGUAGUCCUAGCCGUAAACGAGACUCGCUAGGUGUCGGCCACGGUGCGACCGUUGUCGGUGCCGUAGGGAAGCCGUAAAGCGAGCCACCUGGGAAGUACGGCCGCAAGGCUGAAACUUAAAGGAAUUGGCGGGGGAGCACCGCAACGGGUGGAGCUUGCGGUUUAAUUGGACUCAACGCCGGAAAUCUUACCGGGACCGACAGCAAUAUGAAGGCCAGGCUGAAGACUUUGCCGGAUUAGCUGAGAGGUGGUGCAUGGCCGUCGUCAGUUCGUACUGUGGAGCAUCCUGUUAAGUCAGGCAACGAGCGAGACCCCCACC